RNAcentral lists this ribosomal RNA (3115 nucleotides) under Ruminococcus sp. AF31-14BH. RNAcentral describes it as "bacterial LSU rRNA". It matches the Rfam family "Bacterial large subunit ribosomal RNA". The record is from RNAcentral. Lineage: Bacteria; Bacillati; Bacillota; Clostridia; Eubacteriales; Oscillospiraceae.
AGAGCGUAUGGUGGAUGCCUUGGCACUAAGAGCCGAUGAAAGACGUGAUAAGCUGCGAAAAGCUUCGGGGAGGAGCAAAUAUCCUUUGAUCCGGAGAUUUCUGAAUGGGGAAACCUACUUGAGCAAACCUCAAGUAUCCUUAAGCCAAUACAUAACUUAAGGAAGGGAACCCGGUGAACUGAAACAUCUAAGUAGCCGGAGGAAGAGAAAACAACAUGUGAUUCUGUGAGUAGCGGCGAGCGAAAACGGAAGAGCCCAAACCAGCGUGCGUGCAUGCUGGGGUUCGGACCGCGGAAUUGAUUCAACAAGUUUAGCAGAACGGUUUUGGGAAAGCCGGCCAGAGAGGGUGAAAGCCCCGUAAGCGAAAGACGAGUUGACAUGGCGGGAUCCAGAGUACCACGAGACACGUGGAACCUUGUGGGAAGAUGCGGGGACCACCCCGUAAGGCUAAAUACUACUUAGUGACCGAUAGCGCAUAGUACUGUGAAGGAAAGGUGAAAAGGACCCCGGGAGGGGAGUGAAAAAGAACCUGAAACCAUAUGUUUACAAGCUGUGGAAGAGCUUUAUAUGCUCAACCGCGUACUUUUUGUAGAACGGUCCGGCGAGUUACGCUGGCUGGCGAGGUUAAGGACUAAAGGUCCGGAGCCGAAGGGAAACCAAGUCUGAAUAGGGCGCAUAGUCAGUCGGAGUAGACCCGAAACCGGGUGAUCUAUCCAUGUCCAGGUUGAAGUUGCCGUAAAAGGCAAUGGAGGACCGAACCCACAUCCGUUGAAAAGGGUGGGGAUGAGGUGUGGAUAGGGGAGAAAUUCCAAUCGAACCCGGAGAUAGCUGGUUCUCCUCGAAAUAGCUUUAGGGCUAGCCUCAUACGAGUCUUGCGGAGGUAGAGCACUGAAUUCCUAAGGGGGCGUCAAAGCUUACUAAGGGAUAUCAAACUCCGAAUGCCGUGUAGAUGAUGUAUGGGAGUCAGACGAUCCGAGAUAAGUUGGGUGGUCAAAAGGGAAAGAGCCCAGACCAACAGCUAAGGCCCCAAAAUGUGUGUUAAGUGGAAAAGGAUGUGGGAUUUCGAAGACAACUAGGAUGUUGGCUCAGAAGCAGCCAUUCAUUCAAAGAGUGCGUAAUAGCUCACUAGUCGAGAGGUCCUGCGCCGAAAAUGUCCGGGGCUAAAACACACUGCCGAAGCUUUGGAAUUGAAUUAAUUCAAUUGGUAGAGGAGCAUUCUUAAAGGGACGAAGCAGUACCGUAAGGAGCUGUGGACUUUUAAGAAGAGAGAAUGCCGGAAUGAGUAGCGAGAGGAAGGUGGGAAUCCUUCCGGCCGAAUAUCUAAGGUUUCCAGAGUAAAGCUGAUCUGCUCUGGGUAAGUCGGGGCCUAAGGCGAGGUCGAAAGACGUAGUCGAUGGAUAACAGGUUGAAAUUCCUGUACUAUCCUGUAACAGAACUGUGGGGACACAGGCAGAGAGCNNNNNNNNNNAAUGUCCGGGGCUAAAACACACUGCCGAAGCUUUGGAAUUGAAUUAAUUCAAUUGGUAGAGGAGCAUUCUUAAAGGGACGAAGCAGUACCGUAAGGAGCUGUGGACUUUUAAGAAGAGAGAAUGCCGGAAUGAGUAGCGAGAGGAAGGUGGGAAUCCUUCCGGCCGAAUAUCUAAGGUUUCCAGAGUAAAGCUGAUCUGCUCUGGGUAAGUCGGGGCCUAAGGCGAGGUCGAAAGACGUAGUCGAUGGAUAACAGGUUGAAAUUCCUGUACUAUCCUGUAACAGAACUGUGGGGACACAGGCAGAGAGCGUGAGCCGGGAAUGGAAAGACCGGUACAAGCGAGGUAGGAGAAGAGUUGGCAAAUCCGCUCUUCAAUCUGAAGACGUGAUGUGGACUGAAAAUAAGUAGGGAAGCACGUGAGCUGACUGUCAAGAAAAGCCGCUAUUGUUUGCAGGAUACCCGUACCGUAAACCGACACAGGUGGAUGAGGAGAGAAUCCUAAGGCCGACGGGAGAAGCAUUGUUAAGGAACUCGGCAAAAUGACUCCGUAACUUCGGGAGAAGGAGUGCCAGUAAGAUGGCCGCAGAGAAUUGGCCCAAGCAACUGUUUAGCAAAAACACAGGUCUAUGCAAAACCGAAAGGUGAGGUAUAUGGGCUGACGCCUGCCCGGUGCUGGAAGGUUAAGGGGAGAGGUUAGCGCAAGCGAAGCUUUGAACUUAAGCCCCAGUAAACGGCGGCCGUAACUAUAACGGUCCUAAGGUAGCGAAAUUCCUUGUCGGGUAAGUUCCGACCCGCACGAAAGGCGUAAUGAUUUGGGCACUGUCUCAACAAUGCACCCGGUGAAAUUGAAAUACCAGUGAAGAUGCUGGUUACCUGCGCCAGGACGGAAAGACCCCAUGGAGCUUUACUCCAGCUUGAUACUGGGAUUCGGUAUUGCAUGUACAGGAUAGGUGGGAGGCUAGGAAAUGGUAACGCCAGUUGCCAUGGAGCCGAUGUUGGGAUACCACCCUUGCAGUACUGGGUUUCUAACCAGCAGCCGUGAUCCGGCUGGGGGACAAUGUCAGGUGGGGAGUUUGACUGGGGCGGUCGCAUCCGAAAGGGUAUCGGAGGCGCUCAAAGGUUCCCUCAGAAUGGUUGGAAACCAUUCGAAGAGUGCAAAGGCAGAAGGGAGCUUGACUGCGACACCGACGGGUGGAGCAGGUACGAAAGUAGGACUUAGUGAUCCGGUGGUAUAAAGUGGGAUUGCCAUCGCUCAACGGAUAAAAGCUACCCUGGGGAUAACAGGCUUAUCACUCCCAAGAGUUCACAUCGACGGAGUGGUUUGGCACCUCGAUGUCGGCUCAUCGCAUCCUGGGGCUGAAGUAGGUCCCAAGGGUUGGGCUGUUCGCCCAUUAAAGCGGUACGCGAGCUGGGUUCAGAACGUCGUGAGACAGUUCGGUCCCUAUCCGGCGUGGGCGUAAGAUAUUUGAGAGGAGCUGUCCUUAGUACGAGAGGACCGGGAUGGACUGGCCGCUGGUGUAUCUGUUGUCUUACCAAAGGCAUAGCAGAGUAGCCAAGCCGGGAAGGGAUAAACGCUGAAGGCAUCUAAGCGUGAAGCCCCCCUCAAGAUGAGAUAUCUCAUAACGUCAAGUUAGUAAGACCCCUUGA